Molecule: long non-coding RNA, 526 nt
Filed under: Megachile rotundata (alfalfa leafcutting bee)
Lineage: Eukaryota; Metazoa; Arthropoda; Insecta; Hymenoptera; Megachilidae
Description: uncharacterized LOC105662647, transcript variant X2
Source: RNAcentral
GCUUCCUUCACCGUUUGUCCCAUCCAUAUUAUCUUGGCCGCUAUCUGAAAAUGUGCAUCGAUGAGACAUCUCCAAGAGGUACUGGUCCUGUAAAUGAAACGUCGCAGUUAUGCUCUGUGUAAAAAAUAAAUAUUGACAUAGGAUCAACAUCGAUUGAAGAAGAAUACUAAUCUCUAAGUGAUAAGGCAAAUACAACAGAGUUACAUCAAGUGCACUUCAUUUAAUCUACAAUUUAAGUUAAAAUGCUCUUCAGACAAUGAUCUAUUUGGUCCUCCCAAAUGAAAGACAAGUGGGAGAGUCCACAUGUUACCCAGGGGAAGUUUACACCCAAACACGUGUCGGAAAGAUGCAAUACUGUUGAACGAAGGGCAAAUAAAAUAUGUAAAAUUGGUGAAAUGAAAAUUGGCGGCAAGCUGCGAGCAGAUGGACUCACUUGUCGACUAUAAGCCUUGCAAAGAAUCCUCUCGUUUUUCGAUGGGGCGAAUAGGAGCGCAAAAGCCGAACGGUUCCGACCUCGUCCGAUUCG